GUAAGCACGGAUAUCUCAGUUGGUUAGAGUGUGGUGCUGAUAAUGCCAAGAUUGCAGGUUCAAUCCUUGUAUGUUACA
This 78-nucleotide transfer RNA is filed under the name Podarcis lilfordi (Lilford's wall lizard). RNAcentral describes it as "tRNA.Ile". Lineage: Eukaryota; Metazoa; Chordata; Lepidosauria; Squamata; Lacertidae. The record is from RNAcentral.